Molecule: long non-coding RNA, 490 nt
Organism: Calypte anna (Anna's hummingbird)
Lineage: Eukaryota; Metazoa; Chordata; Aves; Apodiformes; Trochilidae
Exons: 4
Source: RefSeq, a predicted model, not a curated record
GUGAGCUCUCGGACACCAUGAGGUGACUGCAUGAACUUAAAAGUGCUUUAGCUACUGCCCUAGAAGAGCUUCAGGAAAGUGAGAAUCAGCUCAAGAUUAAUACUAAAACAGUGACUUCUCAGCUGCAAAAGCUGUUUAAAGAGAUGAAGAUGGAGAUUAUUCAGAAAGAGAAGAUCAUUCUGAGGGACAUUCAAUCCAACAAGAAAAAACAACUGACAGACAUUACCAAAGUGAAGAAGGAAAUGGAACAGAGGAGAGAUGAGGUUGUGUAGCACCUUCAGUCUUGGCAGGAAUUUAAACUGGACACAGACAGGCUUGGGAAUUGCAGUGUCAGCAGGAUGGAUGAGGUGGUGGUGUACCAGGAAGACUGCUACACACACACGAUGGCUUUACCUGAGAUCUCUGCUGCAACAAGUUUUCAGUGAGUGACCUGUCCCAACCUGCUGGCCCCCAGCCCACACCAGCAAGCCACAGGGCUCAGUGAGCCAGG